RNAcentral lists this ribosomal RNA (249 nucleotides) under uncultured prokaryote. Its description in RNAcentral is "partial 16S ribosomal RNA". It matches the Rfam family "Bacterial small subunit ribosomal RNA", at positions 524 to 772 of the family's 1533-position model. The record is from RNAcentral.
UACGGAGGAUGCAAGCGUUAUCCGGAUUCAUUGGGUUUAAAGGGUGCGUAGGCGGACUAUCAAGUCAGUGGUGAAAGCCUGCAGCUUAACUGCAGAACUGACAUUGAUACUGAUAGUCUUGAGUUUGGUUAAGGUAGGCGGAAUGUGUAAUGUAGCGGUGAAAUGCUUAGAUAUUACACAGAACACCAAUUGCGUAGGCAGCUUACUGAGCCGACACUGACGCUGAGGCACGAAAGCGUGGGGAUCGAA